GUGAAGAAUAUUGCGCAAUGGACGAAAGUCUGACGCAGCCACGCCGCGUGGGUGAUGAAGGCCUUCGGGUCGUAAAGCCCUUUGAGCAGGGAAGAGCGGCCGCAGGGUGAACAAUCCUGUGGCGAGACGGUACCUGCAGAACAAGCACCGGCUAACUCCGUGCCAGCAGCCGCGGUAAGACGGGGGGUGCUAGCGUUGCUCGGAAUUACUGGGCGUAAAGCGUGUGUAGGCGGCUUGGUAAGCCAGAUGUGAAAUCCUACGGCUUAACCGUAGAAGUGCAUCUGGAACUGCCUGGCUAGAGUAUGGUAGAGGGCGGGGGAAUUCCCGGUGGAGCGGUGAAAUGCGUAGAUAUCGGGAGGAAUACCGGUGGCGAAGGCGCCCGCCUGGGCCAUUACUGACGCUCAGACACGAAAGCGUGGGGAGCAAACAGGAUUAGAAACCCCAGUAGUCC
RNAcentral lists this ribosomal RNA (451 nucleotides) under uncultured bacterium. Its description in RNAcentral is "bacterial SSU rRNA". It matches the Rfam family "Bacterial small subunit ribosomal RNA", at positions 354 to 796 of the family's 1533-position model. The record is from RNAcentral.